Molecule: ribosomal RNA, 497 nt
Filed under: uncultured bacterium
Lineage: Bacteria
Description: partial 16S ribosomal RNA
Rfam family: Bacterial small subunit ribosomal RNA
Source: RNAcentral
GAUGAACGCUGGCGGCGUGCCUAAUACAUGCAAGUCGAGCGAACGGACGAGAAGCUUGCUUCUCUUAUGUUAGCGGCGGAUGGGUGAGUAACACGUGGAUAACCUACCUAUAAGACUGGGAUAACUUCGGGACACCGGAGCUAAUACCGGAUUAUAUUUUGAACUGCAUGGUUCAAAAGUGAAAGACGGUCUUGCUGUCACUUAUAGAUGGAUCCGCGCUGCAUUAGCUAGUUGGUAAGGUAACGGCUUACCAAGGCAACGAUGCAUAGCCGACCUGAGAGGGUGAUCGGCCACACUGGAACUGAGACACGGUCCAGACUCCGACGGGAGGCAGCAGUAGGGAAUCUUCCGCAAUGGGCGAAAGCCUGACGGAGCAACGCCGCGUGAGUGAUGAAGGUCUUCGGAUCGUAAAACUCUGUUAUUAGGGAAGAACAUAUGUGUAAGUAACUGUGCACAUCUUGACGGUACCUAAUCAGAAAGCCACGGCUAACUACGUG